This 484-nucleotide ribosomal RNA is filed under the name uncultured bacterium. RNAcentral's name for it is "bacterial SSU rRNA". It matches the Rfam family "Bacterial small subunit ribosomal RNA", at positions 30 to 507 of the family's 1533-position model. The record is from RNAcentral.
AUUGAACGCUGGCGGCAGGCCUAACACAUGCAAGUCGAGCGGUAGAGAGAAGCUUGCUUCUCUUGAGGGCGGCGGACGGGUGAGUAAUGCCUAGGAAUCUGCCUGGUAGUGGGGGACAACGUUUCGAAAGGAACGCUAAUACCGCAUACGUCCUACGGGAGAAAGCAGGGGACCUUCGGGCCUUGCGCUAUCAGAUGAGCCUAGGUCGGAUUAGCUAGUUGGUGAGGUAAUGGCUCACCAAGGCGACGAUCCGUAACUGGUCUGAGAGGAUGAUCAGUCACACUGGAACUGAGACACGGUCCAGACUCCUACGGGAGGCAGCAGUGGGGAAUAUUGGACAAUGGGCGAAAGCCUGAUCCAGCCAUGCCGCGUGUGUGAAGAAGGUCUUCGGAUUGUAAAGCACUUUAAGUUGGGAGGAAGGGCAGUUACCUAAUACGUGAUUGUUUUGACGUUACCGACAGAAUAAGCACCGGCUAACUCUGUG